CGCAAGGGGCCGGGGCCCAAAGGCGCGGUCCAGGAGUCCGGGGUGGUCGGGCGUGGAGCCACGCGACUCCUCGGGCCGGGUGCCGGCUGGGCGCCCGCGGGGACUGGCCCGGCGCCACGCGCGGUGGCAAGUAGGCCUGAGGCUCUUGCUCCCGCUUCACGGAGCAGCCGAGGUCCACACUCGUUUAUAAUGCCAACCGCGGGCGCAGCUGCCUGUCCGAGCUGGCCUGUCCGUUUCCCGCGUCACAGGCCCCGCUUGCUUCCGAGCAGAUGAGACCCAGGAUUUGGAAGGCAAAACAAACAAAUAAACAAACAAAUAUGAACAGGGCAGAUUUGGGACCUUCACAAAGGGUGCCAAAGUUAAGAAAGGCUGAAAGAAUGAAUCUUGGGGGAAUGUUUGUCUCUGCGCCUGGCUGGCCCCGCUCCUGCCAGAACUCCUCACAUCUUCACAAUAGGAGCCAUUUUGCAAAGGCUGAGAUGAAAGCUCAGAGAGAAUGAGCAACUCGCCCAAGUUCAUGUUGCUGCAAAAUGAUAGAAUUGGAGAUGGGUGCCAGACUGCAACCUAGGAGGAAACACUGAAGUGUUUUUUCCCCCGACAUCAUACUAAAUAAACCAAGGCAGUGCCUCCCCCUGUGCUCUCUUUGCUGCCUCUGCCCCCAGUCUCUGUCCUGCUCUCUCUCCUCUUGGUGUCUCUGAAGAGAGAAAAGGGAGAAGGAGAAGCUGCCCCUGAGAGGCUCCUCAGAUGUUCAGGGGGAAGCUGUUCUUGGGUGUACACUGGCAGUGAUUCCUUUUGAAAAGGCAGCAGCAUUGAACUGCCCAAGGUCAGAGAUGCCCAGAGCUGUGGACUUGGGGAAGUGCCAGGGAAGGUGGCAGUGUGCUGUUUCCAAGCUGCACGGGAGCAUUUCGUGCUUGUGUGUGAGUGUAUGUUUGAGGAUUCCUGCGUCCUCAUCCCCACUCCCUGGCAGUGCUCACAGAUGAAGGAGAUGGUCAAGAUGCAGAUUUGGACACUUUGGAACAUCGCAUGGACUAAGUACAAUAGUGAACAAAUAACAACCUUGAAGACUUUUUACCCCAAGUGAAGUAUGUGAGAGUGAUCUUGGGUGGCAUGGCAUCCAGCCUCUGAGACAAAUAUCACCAGCACACCUGGGGAGAGAGCUGUCGCCCUUUCCAAUGCUGAGUAGGACCAGGAGAAAUCACCUUUUGUGGAAGCAACACUUUAGCAACUUUUCAACAAGAGCUACAGUGCCCUUUCAACAGAGAGUGUGGACCCUGUGUUGGAUUCUGAUCCAGGAGCCUUAAACAUGUAAACUCACUCAAUCCUGUUACAUACUGCCCAUGGCAAAGCGUCUGGUGUGUGGUGAGGUGAAUUAUUCAAUGUCACAUAUGGAGUGACUGGCAGAUCCAGGAUGAGGACUCAGAUUCUCUCAGUUCUGUGGAAAUCAACAGAGAUCAGCCAGAUGAGAAAAAUGAAGGCUAUUUAUCCUGAACUAGCUAUAGAAAGGGGAGUCAUCCACCAAAUCUUAUUUGUAGAUGAUAUAUAUAUCAUUUGUAUACUCAGCCUGUCAGUUCAGUUCUCUUCCUUCUAAAUCAGGGGUGGCAAACUUUCCGUAAAGGGACAGAUAGAAAGUAUGGUCAGCUUUACGAGCUAUACAGUCUCUGCUGUGAUUACUCAACACUGACAUUUUAGCACAAAAGCAGCUCUGGACAAUAUGUAAACAAGUGGAUUUGGCUGUGUUCCAACAAAACUUUAUUUAUAAAAACAGGGAGCAGGCUUGAAUUGGCCACAGGGCUGCACUUUGCUGACCCCCGUUCCAUGGUAAAGAGUACACAAAACCAACAAAUGUGCAUAUGACAGCUGCCUCCUGUGCUGUGACUCAUUUCCUUUAGUCCUGUUUUCAUGCCAUUGAAGCCGUGAUCACUGUGGUCUAGUUUCUGAGUGACCGUUCAACAACCAAAAAAUUUUAAAAAGUUCCAUUCAAGAAGCAUCGUUCAACAACCAAAAAAUUUUAAAAAGUUCCAUUAUUUUUUCCUUCCUCUCAAAGGAUGUUACUUAAUAACUGAAGUGAUAUUUCUUAUAAUUUUUUCCAUCCCCGUUCUCCUAUAGCUCAUACUCCUCCCCUUUUCAGAACCUCUUUUUUUGUCAAGCAUCCCCCCCCCCCAAAAAAAACACUCUCUUGCACAGUGAAUCAGCACAGGGUACCAUCUUCCUUUUAAUACAUCACAUGUCAGGGACACCUGGUUGGCUCAGCGGUUGAGCAUCUGCCUUGGGCUCAGGGCGUGAUCCUGGGAUCCCGGAUGGAGUCCUGCAUUGGGCUCCCUGUGGGGAGUCUGCUUCUCCCUCUGCCUAUGUCUCUGCCCCUCUUUCUCUCUCUGUGUCGCUCAUGAAUAAAUAAAUACAUCUUUAAAAAAAAUAUUACAUGUCAGGCAAGAGCUGGUAAGGGCAAUGUUAUUAAAUUGGUAUAGAUCCUGGCUCUGCCACUUACUAGUCUGUGACCUUGGUCUGUCCUUAGCCUGGUCCCCUUGUGUUUGCAACAUGGCUGCCACAGUUCCAGGCAUCACACAGAGAUGAAAAAAAUAUAUAUCCCGAAGAAGUAGAGAUAAUUUCUCCCUUGUAAUCCUUUGAAAGUGAAUCAUCUCCCAGAAGCUUCCAGGCUGACUCAUCUUCAUAUUUCAUUGGCCCAAUUGUAUCACAUGCUCACAUCUAAGUCCACAUGAGUAAGGGGAAUGCGACACCAUGUCUGGUUUAGAUUAGAGUUGAUUAGAUUAAGGUGGAAUCCCCUGCUGAGAUUGGGGGUCCAUUCUGCCUUUUCUGACACACAUGGCCUUAUAGAGGAGGGAGGAUGUGAAGGAGCAAAGCUGAGCUUCUGUAGGAAAGAUGAAGGAGAGGGGUCAGUACUAAGAAGCCAACCAGCUGUGUCUUUAGCGAGAGGCAAAGAGGUGGGGAAGGAAUUGACUAGAGAGAAAAGGUGACAGGAGAAAACUGAGGGCCUAUAAGGAAUUUAUCUCUAGGUUUCUAACUUUCCUUAAAAUAGAAACAGUCAAGGGUUUCUUUUCAUGGCAGACAGAAGGCUUGGAUUUGUUGAUGGAGAGCUGCCUCCCAUCUUUCCCUGAACACAUCAUGCAUCAGGCCAGGAUGGAUAACAACAACAUUGUCAAAUUGGCAAAGCUGGUCUGCCUGUCUUCUCUUCCACCCAAUUUGAUAACUGCUUUCACUCUUUCCCCCAGUCUUACCUUCCUGUGUCCAAGGACCUUGCAUGCUUCGCCAUGAACUCACAACGAGGGAACGCUGGCUGCAGAGAGGGGCAGAUCUGAGUAUGAAUCCUGGCUCUGACACUUAUUAGUCUGUGACCUUGGGUAUGUCACUUAACAGUGAUGAAAAUUAGUUACUCAUCUGUGAUGAGCGAAGAUGUCUGCUUUCCUUACUUAUGCAGUAGCUGUGAGGAUUAAAUGGAAUUUUUCAGUGCCUAUGGCAGUGAUCAUUACGGGAAGUUUUCCUGACGACCUCAUUUCCACUCCCUGAAGGUGGCUUAACUGAAGGUGGGUGAGCUCAGAUGUGCCUCCUUGACAGAGACCAUCAAAGUAUGGCUUGCAGCCACAGAAGGAGUCAGGUGCAUGGCUGGAACAUGUUUUGAAGUGCAGGGGCCUGCAUUCACAUCCUGGACUUGCUGCACAGCUGGACAUCACUGGGAAAUUUACCAAACUAUUCUGCUAGUUGCUUCCUCUCAUCUGUUAAAUGGGGAUGUUUUUGCCAACCUCACAAGGUUGCUGGGUGGGUUAUAAUGCAGUUCCUGGAAGCAUUAAAAAUGGAGUUUCUAUCUCUUGUUUGGCCAUUCACAAUGGGAGGAUAUUCCUGGAGGUUCCUGGAGGAGCAGAACUUAGGAGAAAUCUGGUACCAUUGCAUCUUAUGUAUUACACUCAGAGAAGUUACAUGAGGCAAAAAGGGCUUUUAAAGUGACUUUGAGACUCCUAACUCUGGAAAACGAA
Molecule: long non-coding RNA, 3983 nt
Organism: Canis lupus familiaris (dog)
Lineage: Eukaryota; Metazoa; Chordata; Mammalia; Carnivora; Canidae
Exons: 5
Source: RefSeq, a predicted model, not a curated record